AUAGCCAUUUAGAAAUAGUGGAUAAUACCGAAUACGCUCAUGACCCUGUGGGAAUAUGGAGGAAAACAGGCUACGGCCUGGCUCGAGGAUGGGCCCGCGUCCCAUUAGCUAGUUGGUGAGGUAACGGCCCACCAAGGCGACGAUGGGUAUCCGGCCUGAGGGGGUGUACGGACACAUUGGGACUGAGAUACGGCCCAAACUCCUACGGGAGGCAGCAGCUAAGAAUAUUCCGCAAGUGGACGAAAGUCUGACGGGAGCGACGCCGCGUGGAUGAAGAAGGACCCGGGAAGGUUGUAAAAUCCUUUUGCUGAUGAAGAAUAAGUGUGGUAGGGAAUGACCGCAUGAUGACAUUAGUCGGUGAAUAAGCCCCGGCUAACUACGUGCCAGCAGCCGC
RNAcentral lists this ribosomal RNA (394 nucleotides) under uncultured bacterium. RNAcentral describes it as "bacterial SSU rRNA". It matches the Rfam family "Bacterial small subunit ribosomal RNA", at positions 143 to 518 of the family's 1533-position model. The record is from RNAcentral.